Non-coding RNA from Aplosporella prunicola CBS 121167, 89 nucleotides. NCBI's taxonomy places the organism in Eukaryota, Fungi, Ascomycota, Dothideomycetes, Botryosphaeriales, Aplosporellaceae. The record is from the annotation of a RefSeq genome assembly.
GGGCACUUGGUCUAGGGGUAUGAUUUUCGCUUCGCAACUUCCGCAUUUGUGUCUGUGAAAGGUCGUGGGUUCAAUUCCCACAGUGUCCA